RNAcentral lists this ribosomal RNA (494 nucleotides) under uncultured bacterium. RNAcentral's name for it is "partial 16S ribosomal RNA". It matches the Rfam family "Bacterial small subunit ribosomal RNA", at positions 28 to 507 of the family's 1533-position model. The record is from RNAcentral.
GACGAACGCUGGCGGCGUGCUUAACACAUGCAAGUCGAACGGAAAGGCCUGCUUUCCCUUGUGAAUUGCGGGUACUCGAGUGGCGAACGGGUGAGUAACACGUGAGUGAUCUGCCCCCAACUUGGGUAUAAGCCUGGGAAACUGGGUCUAAUUCCCGAUAGGACUGCAGGGUGGUGCCUGUGGUGGAAAACGAUUUUCUAGUGGUUGGGGAUGAGCUCGCGGCCUAUCAGCUUGUUGGUGGGGUAAUGGCCUACCAAGGCGGCGACGGGUAGCCGGCCUGAGAGGGUGGACGGCCACAUUGGGACUGAGAUACGGCCCAGACUCCUACGGGAGGCAGCAGUGGGGAAUAUUGCACAAUGGGCGGAAGCCUGAUGCAGCGACGCCGCGUGGGGGAUGACGGCCUUCGGGUUGUAAACUCCUUUCGACCGCGAGGAAGCCACCUGGUUGGAAGGGUGGUGACGGUAGUGGUAGAAGAAGCACCGGCUAACUACGUG